GGCGUUAUAGUGUAGUGGUUAUCACUCGGGAUUUUGAUGUUAUAUUCUUUCCCGAAACCCAGGUUCGAACCCUGGUAUCGCCU
Transfer RNA from Rhizopogon vesiculosus, 83 nucleotides. It matches the Rfam family "tRNA". Rfam says of the family: Transfer RNA (tRNA) molecules are approximately 80 nucleotides in length. Their secondary structure includes four short double-helical elements and three loops (D, anti-codon, and T loops). Lineage: Eukaryota; Fungi; Basidiomycota; Agaricomycetes; Boletales; Rhizopogonaceae. The record is from Rfam.